RNAcentral lists this ribosomal RNA (420 nucleotides) under uncultured bacterium. RNAcentral describes it as "bacterial SSU rRNA". It matches the Rfam family "Bacterial small subunit ribosomal RNA", at positions 356 to 773 of the family's 1533-position model. The record is from RNAcentral.
GAGGAAUAUUGGUCAAUGGGUGCAAGCCUGAACCAGCCAUCCCGCGUGAAGGAUUAAGGUCCUAUGGAUUGUAAACUUCUUUUGUAUAGGGAUAAACCUACCCUCGUGAGGGUAGCUGAAGGUACUAUACGAAUAAGCACCGGCUAACUCCGUGCCAGCAGCCGCGGUAAUACGGAGGGUGCAAGCGUUAUCCGGAUUUAUUGGGUUUAAAGGGUCCGUAGGCGGACUUAUAAGUCAGUGGUGAAAUCCUGUCGCUUAACGAUAGAACUGCCAUUGAUACUGUAAGUCUUGAGUAUAUUUGAGGUAGCUGGAAUAAGUAGUGUAGCGGUGAAAUGCAUAGAUAUUACUUAGAACACCAAUUGCGAAGGCAGGUUACCAAGAUAUAACUGACGCUGAGGGACGAAAGCGUGGGUAGCGAAC